This 468-nucleotide ribosomal RNA is filed under the name uncultured bacterium. Its description in RNAcentral is "partial 16S ribosomal RNA". It matches the Rfam family "Bacterial small subunit ribosomal RNA", at positions 28 to 507 of the family's 1533-position model. The record is from RNAcentral.
GAUGAACGCUGGCGGCGUGCCUAACACAUGCAAGUCGAGCGGACAGGCGCUGCUCUUGCUGCGUUCUCGAGUGGCGCAGACGUGUGUAACACGCGUGUAAACUCUCCCUGUAUUUGGGAUAAAUUCUGGAAAAUCGGGCGAAUACACGAUAGGAGCUCCUGAUGCACGGUGGGGGAUGGUAAGUUUCGGCGGUUGGGGAUGGUCUCGCGGCUUAUCAGCUUGAUUGGCGGGUAGGGGCUUUCGAGGGCUACGACGGGUAGCAGGCCUGGGAGGGUGACCGGCCACAUGGGUACUGAGAGACGGCCCAGACUCCUACGGGAGGCAGCAGUGGGAAAUAUUGCACAAUGGGCGGAAGCCUGAUGCAGCAACGCCGCGUGCGGAAUGACGUCCUACGGGUUGUAAACCGCUUUCGCCUGUGACGAAGCGUGAGUGACGGUAAUGGGUAAAGAAGCACCGGCUAACUACGUG